CACACGACUCUCGGCAACGGAUAUCUCGGCUCUCGCAUCGAUGAAGAACGUAGCAAAAUGCGAUACCUGGUGUGAAUUGCAGAAUCCCGUGAACCAUCAAGUUUUUGAACGCAAGUUGCGCCCGAGGCCUUCUGGUUGAGGGCACGCCUGCCUAGGCGUCACGC
Molecule: ribosomal RNA, 164 nt
Filed under: Hordeum patagonicum subsp. magellanicum
Lineage: Eukaryota; Viridiplantae; Streptophyta; Magnoliopsida; Poales; Poaceae
Description: 5.8S ribosomal RNA
Rfam family: 5.8S ribosomal RNA
About the family: 5.8S ribosomal RNA (5.8S rRNA) is a component of the large subunit of the eukaryotic ribosome. It is transcribed by RNA polymerase I as part of the 45S precursor that also contains 18S and 28S rRNA.
Source: RNAcentral